UUUCUCCUACGGGACGCAGCAGUGGGGAAUAUUGCACAAUGGGCGCAAGCCUGAUGCAGCGACGCCGCGUGCGGGAUGGAGGCCUUCGGGUUGUAAACCGCUUUUGUUCAAGGGCAAGGCACGGUCUUUGGCCGUGUUGAGUGGAUUGUUCGAAUAAGCACCGGCUAACUACGUGCCAGCAGCCGCGGUAAUACGUAGGGUGCAAGCGUUAUCCGGAUCUAUUGGGCGUAAAGGGCUCGUAGGCGGUUCGUCGCUUCAGGUGUGAAAGUCCAUCGCUUACCGUGGGAGCCGCGCCGGGUACGGGG
RNAcentral lists this ribosomal RNA (305 nucleotides) under uncultured bacterium. RNAcentral's name for it is "bacterial SSU rRNA". It matches the Rfam family "Bacterial small subunit ribosomal RNA", at positions 333 to 637 of the family's 1533-position model. The record is from RNAcentral.